RNAcentral lists this ribosomal RNA (253 nucleotides) under uncultured bacterium. Its description in RNAcentral is "partial 16S ribosomal RNA". It matches the Rfam family "Bacterial small subunit ribosomal RNA", at positions 524 to 776 of the family's 1533-position model. The record is from RNAcentral.
GACGUAGGGCGCGAGCGUUGUCCGGAUUUAUUGGGCGUAAAGAGCUCGUAGGCGGCUUGUCACGUCGGGUGUGAAAGCCCGGGGCUUAACCCCGGGUCUGCAUUCGAUACGGGCUAGCUAGAGUGUGGUAGGGGAGAUCGGAAUUCCUGGUGUAGCGGUGAAAUGCGCAGAUAUCGGAAGGAACAUCAGUGGCGAAAGCGACUUCCUGGACCAGUACCGACGUUCAGGCACGAAAGCGUGGGGAGCAAACAGG